GACAGCAGUCGCCGCGGGAAUACGUAGGUGGCAAGCGUCGUCCGGAAUUAUUGGGCGUAAAGCGCGCGCAGGCGGAUCAGUCAGUCUGUCUUAAAAGUUCGGGGCUUAACCCCGUGAUGGGAUGGAAACUGCCGAUCUAGAGUAUCGGAGAGGAAAGUGGAAUUCCUAGUGUAGCGGUGAAAUGCGUAGAUAUUAGGAAGAACACCAGUGGCGAAGGCGACUUUCUGGACGAAAACUGACGCUGAGGCGCGAAAGCCAGGGGAGCGAACGGGAUUAGAUACCCCCGUAGUCCCUGUCUCUUAUACA
This 306-nucleotide ribosomal RNA is filed under the name uncultured bacterium. Its description in RNAcentral is "partial 16S ribosomal RNA". It matches the Rfam family "Bacterial small subunit ribosomal RNA", at positions 507 to 809 of the family's 1533-position model. The record is from RNAcentral.